UACGAGGGGGGCGAGCGUCGUUCGGAAUUACUGGGCGUAAAGGGCGCGUAGGCGGUUUGAUAAGUCAGAUGUGAAAGCCCACGGCUUAACUGUGGAAGUGCAUUUGAAACUGUGAGACUUGAGUACCAGAGGGGAAAGUGGAAUUCCCGGUGUAGAGGUGAAAUUCGUAGAUAUCGGGAGGAAUACCGGUGGCGAAGACGACUUUCUGGCUGGAUACUGACGCUGAGGCGCGAAAGCGUGGGGAGCAAACAGG
This 253-nucleotide ribosomal RNA is filed under the name uncultured bacterium. RNAcentral describes it as "partial 16S ribosomal RNA". It matches the Rfam family "Bacterial small subunit ribosomal RNA", at positions 524 to 776 of the family's 1533-position model. The record is from RNAcentral.